UUCACGGAGAGUUUGAUCCUGGCUCAGGACGAACGCUGGCGGUGUGCUUAACACAUGCAAGUGGUGCGACGAACCAGGCUUCGGCCUGGGGCAAAGCCGCGAACGGGUGAGUAACACGUGGGUAAUCUGCCCCGAUGACCGGGA
RNAcentral lists this ribosomal RNA (144 nucleotides) under Solirubrobacterales bacterium. RNAcentral's name for it is "partial 16S ribosomal RNA". It matches the Rfam family "Bacterial small subunit ribosomal RNA", at positions 1 to 143 of the family's 1533-position model. Lineage: Bacteria; Bacillati; Actinomycetota; Thermoleophilia; Solirubrobacterales. The record is from RNAcentral.